Molecule: long non-coding RNA, 678 nt
Filed under: Parus major (Great Tit)
Lineage: Eukaryota; Metazoa; Chordata; Aves; Passeriformes; Paridae
Description: lncRNA (ENSPMJG00000019581.1)
Source: RNAcentral
AUGGGGAGGGCCACGGACCUCCCCCCUCCGCGCGUUCCCCUGCUCCGCGCCCCUCCCGCUGUGCGCGCCCCCCCGGAGCGGCCGCCAACGGGGUCGGCGAGAGGGGGGCGCGCAUCCCGAGGGGGCCGCGGUGGCGGCGGGGGUCCCACCGUGUGGCCCCCCGUUCAUCCCCCUCCCCGUUCCCCCCCUCCGGCAGUGGUCGCGCCCGGGCGGCGGGUCACGUGGCGGCGGGUGCUGUCGGUGACGUGGGGGCGCGCGGGCGCGGAGCAGCGCGCGCGGCGCGGAGCGAGCAGCGGCGGCGGCGGCGGCGGCGGGAGAGGAAAACGGGGGGUCCCGGGCACAGCUCCGGGCGGUGCAAACACACAUCACACCCCCUACCAUCACCAGCCUCCGCUUCUGGCGUUGACACUCAAGUGGUGGGUUAAUUCUGUGUAGCUGUUUUGUUAUUGUUGCAAAAUAACCUGUCACGGUGCCCUCGGUCCGCCGGUGCAGUUGCUCGGAGCUACUGAUUCCAGCACUGGCGAGCCCACGGAGCGGCCACCUUGGACGCCAAGUGCCCGGGUGCUGCCUUUAUUUUGAUUUCUCAGCCGAGCUCUUGAACUGAAACAUUUUAAAGCAAGGAGGUUUGGGGAGGGGGUGGGUAAUAAAUUAGGAAGAAAGCCCUUCUGCUAAUACGAC